AUUGAACGCUGGCGGAAUGCUUUACACAUGCAAGUCGAACGGCAGCACGGGGGCAACCCUGGUGGCGAGUGGCGAACGGGUGAGUAAUGUAUCGGAACGUACCCAGUCGUGGGGGAUAACUAUCCGAAAGGAUAGCUAAUACCGCAUACGUCCUGAGGGAGAAAGCGGGGGAUCGCAAGACCUCGCGCGAUUGGAGCGGCCGAUAUCGGAUUAGCUAGUUGGUGAGGUAAAGGCUCACCAAGGCGACGAUCCGUAGCGGGUCUGAGAGGACGACCCGCCACACUGGAACUGAGACACGGUCCAGACUCCUACGGGAGGCAGCAGUGGGGAAUUUUGGACAAUGGGGGAAACCCUGAUCCAGCCAUUCCGCGUGAGUGAAGAAGGCCUUCGGGUUGUAAAGCUCUUUCAGCAGGAACGAAACGGUCGGCUUUAAUAAAGUCGGCUAAUGACGGUACC
Molecule: ribosomal RNA, 456 nt
Filed under: uncultured bacterium
Lineage: Bacteria
Description: bacterial SSU rRNA
Rfam family: Bacterial small subunit ribosomal RNA
Source: RNAcentral